UACGGAGGGGGCUAGCGUUGUUCGGAAUGACUGGGCGUAAAGCGCGCGUAGGCGGAUCAGAAAGUUGGGGGUGAAAUCCCGCAGCUCAACUGCGGAACUGCCUUUGAUACUGGGUAUCUUGAGUAUGGAAGAGGUGAGUGGAAUUCCGAGUGUAGAGGUGAAAUUCGUAGAUAUUCGGAGGAACACCAGUGGCGAAGGCGGCUCACUGGUCCAUUACUGACGCUGAGGUGCGAAAGCGUGGGGAGCAAACAGG
RNAcentral lists this ribosomal RNA (253 nucleotides) under uncultured bacterium. RNAcentral's name for it is "partial 16S ribosomal RNA". It matches the Rfam family "Bacterial small subunit ribosomal RNA", at positions 524 to 776 of the family's 1533-position model. The record is from RNAcentral.